GAGCCAGAAUACUUCUCUCUCUCUCUCUCUCUCUCUCUCUCUCUCUCUCUCUCUCUGUGUGUGUGUGUGUGUGUGUGUGUGUGUGUGAGAGAGAGAGAGAGAGAGAGAGAGAGAGAGAGAGGAGAGAGAGAGAGAGAGAGAUUUUAUCU
RNAcentral lists this microRNA precursor (149 nucleotides) under Marmota monax (woodchuck). Lineage: Eukaryota; Metazoa; Chordata; Mammalia; Rodentia; Sciuridae. The record is from RNAcentral.